This 253-nucleotide ribosomal RNA is filed under the name uncultured bacterium. RNAcentral describes it as "partial 16S ribosomal RNA". It matches the Rfam family "Bacterial small subunit ribosomal RNA", at positions 524 to 776 of the family's 1533-position model. The record is from RNAcentral.
UACAGAGGGGGCAAGCGUUGUUCGGAAUUACUGGGCGUAAAGGGCGCGUAGGCGGCCGCCUAAGUCAGACGUGAAAUCCCUCGGCUCAACCGGGGAACUGCGUCUGAUACUGGGUGGCUUGAAUCCGGGAGAGGGAUGCGGAAUUCCAGGUGUAGCGGUGAAAUGCGUAGAUAUCUGGAGGAACACCGGUGGCGAAGGCGGCAUCCUGGACCGGUACUGACGCUGAGGCGCGAAAGCCAGGGGAGCAAACGGG